UACGGAGGGUGCGAGCGUUGUCCGGAAUCAUUGGGCGUAAAGGGCGCGUAGGUGGCUUCUUAAGCGUGCGGUGAAAGCCUGGGGCUCAACCUCGGGUCUGCAGUCGAUACGGGCAAACUAGAGUAUUGCAGGGGAGACUGGAAUUCCUGGUGUAGCGGUGAAAUGCGCAGAUAUCAGGAGGAACACCGGUGGCGAAGGCGGGUCUCUGGGCAAUAACUGACGCUGAGGAGCGAAAGCGUGGGGAGCGAACAGG
Molecule: ribosomal RNA, 253 nt
Filed under: uncultured bacterium
Lineage: Bacteria
Description: partial 16S ribosomal RNA
Rfam family: Bacterial small subunit ribosomal RNA
Source: RNAcentral